Molecule: unclassified non-coding RNA, 322 nt
Filed under: soil metagenome
Description: partial contains 5.8S ribosomal RNA, internal transcribed spacer 2, and large subunit ribosomal RNA
Rfam family: 5.8S ribosomal RNA (bases 1-120)
Source: RNAcentral
GAUGAAGAACGCAGCGAAAUGCGAUAAGUAAUGCGAAUUGCAGAAUUCAGUGAGUCAUCGAAUCUUUGAACGCACAUUGCGCCCUGUGGUAUUCCGCAGGGCAUGCCUGUUCGAGCGUCAUUUCAACCCUCAAGCCCCGCUUGGUGUUGGGCCCCGCCCGCUGUGGCCGGCCCUAAAGACAGUGGCGGCGCCGCCUGGCCCUCAGCGUAGUACAUCUCUCGCUCCAGGGUCCGGUGGCCGCCUGCCAGAACCCCCCAACUCUGUGGUUGACCUCGGAUCAGGUAGGGAUACCCGCUGAACUUAAGCAUAUCAAUAAGCGGGA